Molecule: non-coding RNA, 21 nt
Organism: Caenorhabditis elegans
Lineage: Eukaryota; Metazoa; Nematoda; Chromadorea; Rhabditida; Rhabditidae
Source: Ensembl
CAUAAAAAUUUUAAGCCCCCA